UAGCUGAUUUGUAGAGAAUAGAUCAGCCACCUUUGGGUACGUGAGACACGGCCCGAAACCUACCUACCGGGAGGGCGAGCAGUGAGGAAUAUUGGACAAUGGGGGAAACCCUGAUCCAGCAAUGCCAUGUGUGUGAAGAAGGCCUUAGGGUUGUAAAGCACUUUAGUUGGGGAAGAAAGCUUUAAGGUUAAUAACCUUGAGGAAGGACGUUACCCAAAGAAUAAGCACCGGCUAACUCCGUGC
Molecule: ribosomal RNA, 243 nt
Filed under: uncultured Francisella sp.
Lineage: Bacteria; Pseudomonadati; Pseudomonadota; Gammaproteobacteria; Thiotrichales; Francisellaceae
Description: partial 16S ribosomal RNA
Rfam family: Bacterial small subunit ribosomal RNA
Source: RNAcentral